Ictalurus punctatus (channel catfish) is the source of this 386-nucleotide long non-coding RNA. NCBI's taxonomy places the organism in Eukaryota, Metazoa, Chordata, Actinopteri, Siluriformes, Ictaluridae. The record is from Ensembl.
CCUGCCGGUUGUAACUACAGCAAAUGUGAUUAUUUACCCAGGCGAACAGUAACUGGUGCAGACCACGGCAUACUCGCAGAAAAGUAUGCAACUUAGACAACCUAUGUUCUCUGAAUGUGGCCUCUGCAGAUUCCCUCUCAUUCUCUGUCGGACUCUGGAACUGCCAAUCUGCCAUCAACAAGGCAGAUUUCAUUCCUGCCUUUGCAACCCACUACAACCUCAGUGUGCUGGCUCUGACUGAGACCUGGAUCCAUGCUGAGAACACUGCCACACCCACUGCCCUAGCCUCCAACUUCAACUUCUCCCAUACCUCAUGUCCCAACAGAAGAGUGGGUGGUACAGGUCAACUGGGGAACAUCAUCGAUGAAUUUGACAUGCUACUGUCC